CGCUUCUUUGUUUUCUCUCACUGUGCACAAACCUGUAGACCCUUUCUUGAGGAUUGCUGUGCGAAAGUCGGCUCUCCUUGUUGUCUAUGCUUUCACAACCUAUGAAUGUAUCUAGAAUGCUUUUGAAUCUGGGGAAUACACAUACAACUUUCAGCAACGGAUCUCUUGGCUCUCGCAUCGAUGAAGAACGCAGCGAAAUGCGAUAAGUAAUGUGAAUUGCAGAAUUCAGUGAAUCAUCGAAUCUUUGAACGCAUCUUGCGCUCCUUGGUAUUCCGAGGAGCAUGCCUGUUUGAGUGUCAUUUGAAACCUCUCAACCACCUUCAAGGUGGCUUGGAAAUGGGGGAUCGUUGCAGGCUUUGAAGUCUGCUCCCCUGAAAUGCAUUAGUGGUGUCUGGGCUGACUGCCACAGUGUGAUAGCUAUCAGUGCCUUGGUGGAAACCUCGCUGCUUCCAA
This 453-nucleotide ribosomal RNA is filed under the name uncultured Inocybe. RNAcentral describes it as "eukaryotic LSU rRNA". The stretch from base 146 to 299 matches the Rfam family "5.8S ribosomal RNA". The record is from RNAcentral. Lineage: Eukaryota; Fungi; Basidiomycota; Agaricomycetes; Agaricales; Cortinariaceae.